AUGGCCUCUGUUGUGGCUGUCUCUGAUGGUGUCAUCAAGGUGUUCAACGACAUGAAGUUGUGUAAGUCUUCAACACCAGAGAAGUUGAAGAAGCGCAAGAAGGCGGUGCUCUUCCGCCUGAGUGAAGACAAGAAGAACAUCAUCCUGAAGGGGAGGGCAAGGAGAUACUGGUGGGCAAUGUGGACCAGACCAUCGACAACCCCUAUGCCACCUUUGUCAAGAUGCUACCGGAUAAGGAUUGCCUCUACGCCCUCUAUGACGCAACCUAUGAGACCAAGAGAGCAAGAAGGAGGACCUGGUGUUUAUCUUCUGGGCCACUGAGUCUGUGCCCCUUAAGAGCAAAAUGAUCAAUGCCAGCUCCAAGGACGCCAUCAACAAGAAGCUGACAGGAAUCAAGCAAGAAUUACAAGCAAACUACUAUGAGGAGGUCAAGGACCACUGCACCCUGGCAGAGAAGCUGGGGGGCAGUGCCAUCAUCUCCCUGGAGGGCAAGCCUUUGUGA
RNAcentral lists this long non-coding RNA (502 nucleotides) under Homo sapiens (human). Its description in RNAcentral is "non-protein coding lnc-AK6-3:4". Lineage: Eukaryota; Metazoa; Chordata; Mammalia; Primates; Hominidae. The record is from RNAcentral.